AGCUUAAAGUAUUUAUUUUAAGUGACGCCUGCCCAGUGCUAAAGUGUAAACGGCCGCAGUACCUUGACUGUGCUAAGGUAGCAUAAUCAGUUGGCUUUUAAAUGAAGUCGGGAAUGAAUGGACUUAUAGGGUUAAGCUGUCUCUUUCAUAUUUUAUUGAAAUUAAUUAUUAGGUGAAAAUGCCUAAGCAACAGAAAAAAGACGAGAAGACCCUAGGAGUUUCAGUUAAAAGUUACGUUAUAACUUCUACUUUUGUUGGGGCGACAUAGGAAUAAUUUCAACUUCCUUAAUCUUAUUUACCGACUUAGUAUAUAUAAAUAACUACCCUAGGGAUAACAGCGUAAUUCAUUAUUGAGCUUGCGACCUCCAUGUUGGACUAGGAUUUUAGUGGGCUAGCCGCCUAUUUAUAUUGUUCUGUUCGAACUUAAAUUCCUACAU
Molecule: ribosomal RNA, 437 nt
Filed under: Elysia sp. 1 GC-2014
Lineage: Eukaryota; Metazoa; Mollusca; Gastropoda; Plakobranchidae
Description: partial 16S ribosomal RNA
Rfam family: Bacterial large subunit ribosomal RNA
Source: RNAcentral